Molecule: ribosomal RNA, 253 nt
Filed under: uncultured bacterium
Lineage: Bacteria
Description: partial 16S ribosomal RNA
Rfam family: Bacterial small subunit ribosomal RNA
Source: RNAcentral
UACGUAGGGUCCGAGCGUUGUCCGGAAUUACUGGGCGUAAAGGGCUCGUAGGCGGCCAACUAAGUCAGACGUGAAAUCCCUCGGCUUAACCGGGGAACUGCGUCUGAUACUGGAUGGCUUGAAUCCGGGAGAGGGAUGCGGAAUUCCAGGUGUAGCGGUGAAAUGCGUAGAUAUCGGGAGGAACACCAAUGGCGAAGGCAGCUCGCUGGGACGGUACUGACGCUGAGACGCGAAAGCGUGGGGAGCAAACAGG